UUCUCAAAAUCGCAAAAUUACCCUUCUCACAAACCCUAUCUCCUCCUCCUUUCCCCAUCCCGUAGCCACCAUCCUCCACCCCACUACUCUCUCCGGCCGGCACGCCACCGCCUUCCAGCCCGCCCCUCGUUUCCUCUGGCCGGCGGGCCACCCCACUCCCACUCCGCCCAUAGGCUUGACUCGCCAUUGGAGAGCACGGACGAGGCCAGCGCGUCUCCAGCGGGUAGACGAGGCGGCGCGCUCCCUGUCCUUGUAGCAGGGUGAGCUGGCGCCCUACGCCGCCCCCACUCCCUCUGCUCGGCCGUCCAGACGCAGGAGCUGUCCAUCCCUCGUCGGUCCCCCUCUUCUACCACCGGCUGGUUCUUUCCAACAGCACAUCCUAGCUGCUGCUUCAUACAUGGCGAACGUGGAAGAAUCUCAUCAAAGAGAUGAAGCUACAAGGAGCUCCUGGUGUGAAGAGGCAAUUUUCUGCUCAUAGUCUCAGCCACACUCUGCUGUUCUUACGCUCUUGAUCUGGUCUGCCGUCGUCCCUCCCCCUCCCUCAACAUCCUCUGUGUCGGUCCAGUCCUCGCCGGGCCGUCAGCCCUGCAACCAGCACCGUCCUGCCAUCUGUUGCACUACUCCUCCUCCUCAUAUCCCUCCCCUCCCACCGCUCUCUUCCACUCCGUCCUGAGCGCAUAGCCCCGGCUCACCAGACCAUGCUUCUGCGGCACGGUGCACCUCUCUGCGCGCCACGACCGCCAGCAGGAGGCCUCUGCGCUGGAGGUGGCCGCCAUGGCUCCACGCUGGCGCGACCCAAUGUCCUUCGCCAGACCUGCUUCUUGUGGGCUGCAAAGACGAGCGGAGGAGCAAUCAGGAUCAUGUUGUUGCUCUUCAAUAUGUGCCUUCCGAGUUACAGCUAGCGGACUUCUUCACGAAGGCACAGACUAGAGCACAACAUAGAUUUCACCUCCCCAAACUCAGUGUUGUCGAGCCACCAUGAGUUUGAGGGCGGGGGGGGGGGGGGGGGGGGGGGGUGUUUAGAGUUAUAUUGAUGAUGGCCUUUGGCCUUUUGUAUUCUUGCCUUUUGGAUCCUCAUGUACAUUAUAUAUAUAUGGUGGCUUUGGCCUCCUAGUAAUACAAGUUGCAUAUUUCCUGACAGCGUGAACACUCCGUUGGCACCUUUUUGACAUAUAUUGCCUUCCUGGUUCUCUCAAGUCACCAAUGUGGCAGUGUCAUGUCUAUGAUAGGCGAUUUUAUGCUCACAUAGUGUGUUAGAGAAAGUUAAGUCACCUUGUUUGGUUUCUUAUCUGCUUAUAAACUUGGAACUUUAUUGAUAUAAAACUAGGAAAGAUGACAUCUGCUUUGCUUGUAUUUCCUUGUCUUCUGUUGUCUAUCGACCAUUCCUGCCAUCUCACUUCUGGGGAUGCACUACUGGAUUCGACCCACCAUGUAUGUGCAUUUCCUCUAUCAGUGUUGGCCCCUUUGCGAAACUUCUGGUACAUCUGCACUGGAAGUUUGUUCCAUGCCACGCGCAUUAACAAUCUAAUGUUAUGUUCUACUCCCUCCGUUCCUAAAUAUAAGUCUUUUUAGACAUUUCAAAUGGACUACAACAUACGGAUGUAUUUAGACAUAUUUUAGAGUGUAGAUUCACUCACUUUGCUCCGUAUGUAGUCACUUGUUGGAAUCUCUAAAAAGACUUAUAUUUAGGAACGGAGGGAGUAUAACAAAUCUAUUUAAGACAUCGUCGCCUUAAAACACUGUAAUACUGUAACUUUACCACAAAAUGUCAAAUAUGAACUUUUGCUGCCCAGUCACAGACACGAGUUACUUCAAAAGCUACAAAAAUCAGCAAGACGGAAGUGAUAUUUUGGUUGGUAAUAUUUUUGUAACAACCAUAUCUUCUUAUUUGUACACAUAUUUUACAGCCAUCAUAUUCUUAGCUACGGAUGGGACAUGCUCUUUUUUUGGUGUUUGAAAAUGAAAAUAGCAACUAAAUAUUUCUUUAGUCUCAAAUCUCUAUAAAUCUUGGUUGCUAAAACUCAAUAGUGAUCAGUCAUUGGGACUUCAGUUUCAUUAGUCUAAUGCUUGAAUAUUGAGGUUCGUCGCAGCUUAGAUCACAUGGCAGUGACAACCCACAGUUAUCAACUAAUGAUUUUAAACUUAUAAUGUCUUCUCCCACUUUGUUUUAUGUUAGUGAUAUUGACACGCUGUGUUGUAUACUGGGUUGUAUGGAGGCAAGAGAGAAGAACGAUUCUUAGUCUUGCUUGUUUUUAUUCCUCGUAGGGGGUCCUCUGUAUAUAGAAGACCUAAAAAUCCAAUGUAAGUAACACAUCAUCGAUCUUAUUUCUACUUGCUUGAGGACCAAGCUAAAAGAUUUCUUCCUAAUUUAAAAGAUAGACUAUCUAACGUAGAGAUUGGAGAACUCAUCCCUUGAAAUCGGAGUUGGGGCACAAGGAGGGGCUGGGGGUCCGACGGGUGUGACAAAGUUUAAUUAAACCAUUUUAUAUCAUGAAAAUGAAAACGAUGGUAGUACCAAUUUUUCGUAUGGAAGCAUAUGGGAAUAUCUGCAGAAUUAGAUACAAGAGUACAAGAUUGUAUCAUAAGUCUUUGAGAUUUUGAGUACCCUGCCUUUGUGAAGCUUGGGAACCAUGAUUUGAUAUAUCUACUC
Molecule: RNA transcript, 2650 nt
Organism: Triticum urartu
Lineage: Eukaryota; Viridiplantae; Streptophyta; Magnoliopsida; Poales; Poaceae
Gene: NPQ7
Gene name: antigen receptor-like protein (DUF565)
Source: RefSeq, a predicted model, not a curated record